Molecule: non-coding RNA, 2473 nt
Organism: Lolium perenne
Lineage: Eukaryota; Viridiplantae; Streptophyta; Magnoliopsida; Poales; Poaceae
Source: RefSeq, a predicted model, not a curated record
CUGUACUUUUCAUCGUCAAGGACACCGCCAGCCAGGAGCGCAGCUGCUGCCCAGCUCCACCUCCGAUGUAUGUCGUGCUGAUGGAACGAUGAUGCAUGUGGGUCCUUGGCUUUGAACCUUCAGAAGAAAAGUUUUGAUUACAAUCGUUUUUACCUAUGCCAUCACACAUGAUGGAACAGGACUAGCAGUACUUGCUUACUCCAGACAACACAAUCUAAGCACGCCCAGUUCAUGGGCGACUUUGUUCCAGAACACGGCAAAAAAAAUCUGAUUGAUCAGUUUCAUUAGGUGCUUAUUCUCACCUUCCUUUCCAAUUUAUAUGCUUUGCAAGCAAAAUAUUUUCGAUUUGCAAGGCGAGAAGUUGUGUGCAAAUCCCAUAGUCUAUAUUGAAUGUUGCUCUGGAUUAAUCAAAAGGUCCUUUUCAGCUUUGCGCUAGAUUGCAGUUGUACUUGGUAAGUUGUUAUACUCCUCCCUGCAAAAUACUUUGGAUAUGUACUAUCUCCAUGAUUCUCAAGGUCAUUUUCUCACCUGGUUUCGCUGGCUCAUGCCUCAACACCAUGUGUGGCUCGCCAGCGAGUCCAUGAUUCUCAAGUGUUAUGUUCCACGGCAACUUAGGAGCAUGAUUUCAGUUUCAGUUAUCUCUAGAUGUUUAGGAAUAGGAAGGGAAUGACUUUCCCACUUAUUGGAUUGGGGAAUUACUCCCUGGAAAGAUCACAACUUUUUGGAUGUUCUGAGCUUUUUUUUAUUACCUGGCCUGUCAGCGAAGUGCAUGAUUUAGAGUAAUUUUGUAUGCUUUGUGGUCUAAAUUACAACGCUGCAAUGUCCUAGCUAUUUGUUUUUCAAGAGAAUUUAAUCCAAGUGAAACUUCACAAUAUUAUAAAUUUCAAGACCAAAAGAGGUCAGUAUUGUAUCCAAGGAAUGUUAUUUAACCUUUCAGUAGUUACUCCUAUUUAUCAGAUCAUUUCUUGUGUCUACCAGUGUACAUUAUUGUGGUCCUUACACUGACAUUGAGUGGGUGGAGUAAUGCAUUCCAGUUUUAUUCUAUGUCAUUUGUUCAGCCAAAAUUAUAUCGCUCUUAUGUUUUAUCUAAAAGAAGUGCUUUCUAAAAUGCAUGAACUAAUAUUUAACAUUCUGAAUGUAUUUGCUGGUGUAUGAUACUCCAAAGAUAGUUGCACACAUGAGUUUUGAACUUAAAUGUCUAAGUCUGCAAUUGGAAGAGGGUCGGAAGAUGAGGAAGCAAUCCUAGACUAAAACCAUGCUGCACUAGGCAAGUGAUUGUCGUGUUACAAACAUAAUCGUUUUUGUGUAUUCAAAGCGCACUUGAUAUACAACCUGUGAUGUGUUCUUUUUCUCCUCUUCAUUGGCUGAGGAAGGAGGAUUCCACAGCCGUCCAUUGGCAGUGGCAGGCAGCGCAAAACAAGUUGGAGGCGAACACCAAGGGGCAUGCAAGAGGGCGACCGUCGCAGGAGCACAUCAUAGCUCAGACAAUCAUCACAGGAACUAGAGUUCGAGACCCAUGAGCAAACUAGACAGAUUCUAUACAGAAUUAUAAGAAGGGUUUAGUGUUCUGCUGGUACACCAAUAACAUUGCUGAGCAGCACAGCCCACUGCCCGCGCCGCCCCCGAAGGGCGGUUGAUGGCCAGUGGGAGUAUUGCCUCCCAGUAGGAGGAGCUUGGUGCGCCGCCAAGCCAGACCAGAGGCGACGUGUAGGCUGCCACUGUCGAGAUGGACGAUGCCAGGGAAUCGAGUUGCAGCUUGAUGGAAACCAUCAAGAUCUCGGCCAUUUGUUUAGGCGCACCCCUAAAUCGUCGAGUUUAUAAGCUAUUACGGGCUGCUGUCUGUAUGUUUAUGUUUGGAAGCUUAUAAGCUAUUACGAGGUAUCAACAUUUCCCCUGUAUUAAUGGUAAGAUAAAUUUAAAAGAUUUAUCACUUGGUAGGAAGUGAGAAGCUUUGAUAUCACUUGGUAUGAACCAAAGAUUAAGGUAAAAGCGAGGACAACAAAGCCACUUCUGGGUAAUCAAGAUGGAUAAAAGUUCUGUUGCUCUUCGUAUUGGUUCCUGCCUUUGUUAUUCUCUAAGCGUUAGAGAAAAUGUUUAAGAUAAUGUUUGUCAAUGUGAAAGAUGUGGGCUGUGCGCCAAGGUGUGGCCCUAAAUCAUAAGGCGCAGAUCUUACUCUUUUUACUAUACUAUAUUUUGGUACUGUCACUGAGGUCCUCAUAGUUUUGCAUCUAUUUGUAUAUUUAUAUGUUUGUUUUCUGCUACAACUCUCGAAUUACGCAAUAGUUUUGGUACACUUGGUUUGCUGCUACGUUUAUAAUUUCGUAUGAUUUAUCCUAAUUUUAUCCUACCAACAUUGGUUUGUGAAACCUAAAGUGUAAUGUCAUUUUGGCAGUUAAUUUUUAUUGUUAUUAUACAAAAUGUAUGUUGGCACGAGCUUAACGGGAUCGUGCGCCAAGGCGCACAUCUAAAUCUA